GACGAACGCUGGCGGCGUGCCUAAUACAUGCAAGUCGAACGAACCGCGACUGAGUGCUUGCACUUGGUCAAGGUGAGUGGCGAACGGGUGAGUAACACGUGGGUAACCUACCUCAUAGUGGGGGAUAACAGUCGGAAACGACUGCUAAUACCGCAUAGGACAUGGAAUCACAUGAUUCUGUGAGGAAAGGUGGCGCAAGCUAUCGCUAAGAGAUGGACCCGCGGUGCAUUAGCUAGUUGGUAGGGUAACGGCCUACCAAGGCGAUGAUGCAUAGCCGACCUGAGAGGGUGAUCGGCCACAUUGGGACUGAGACACGGCCCAAACUCCUACGGGAGGCAGCAGUAGGGAAUCUUCCGCAAUGGACGCAAGUCUGACGGAGCAACGCCGCGUGAGUGAAGAAGGCCUUCGGAUCGUAAAGCUCUGUUGUUAGAGAAGAACAGCGCAUAGAGUAAACUGCUAUGCGUGGGACGGAU
RNAcentral lists this ribosomal RNA (473 nucleotides) under Abiotrophia defectiva. RNAcentral's name for it is "bacterial SSU rRNA". It matches the Rfam family "Bacterial small subunit ribosomal RNA", at positions 28 to 477 of the family's 1533-position model. Lineage: Bacteria; Bacillati; Bacillota; Bacilli; Lactobacillales; Aerococcaceae. The record is from RNAcentral.